UUAAGUUCAGCGGGUAGUCCUACCUGAUUUGAGAUCGAACGUUCAAAAUGCUGUCUUCACUGAGGAAAGACGUUUGUAAGCCCCAGCAAACCUCCAUCACUGAAGGUUACCUGGCAGACGACCACAAGCGUAGAUAGUUAUCACACCCAUGGCGCCACCAAACACUGGUAAGCUGAUCCAUUUGAGAGGAGCUGACCGCA
This 200-nucleotide unclassified non-coding RNA is filed under the name Thelephora sp. RNAcentral describes it as "partial internal transcribed spacer 2". The record is from RNAcentral. Lineage: Eukaryota; Fungi; Basidiomycota; Agaricomycetes; Thelephorales; Thelephoraceae.